CAACUACUCCCUCUGUCCCAAAUUUCUUGUCUUAGAUUUGUCUAGAUACGAAUGUAUCUAAUACUAAAAUGUGACUUGAUACAUCCAUAUCUAGACAAAUCUAAGACAAGAAUUUUGGGACGGAGGGAGUACUUU
This is a non-coding RNA of Triticum aestivum (bread wheat), 135 nucleotides long. The record is from Rfam. NCBI's taxonomy places the organism in Eukaryota, Viridiplantae, Streptophyta, Magnoliopsida, Poales, Poaceae.